ACGGAACCGUGCAGUAUAAGCACGGACGACUACUGUCCAAGCAGACCAUCCAGAACCACCUGGGCGAGGAACUCCUGCAGGACUUGAUCAAUUUCUGCCUCCACUACAUGGCCCUGCUCAGGCUGCCCAAGAAGCGGUGAGACCCCCGCCCCGCCCUGUGUCCCACCCCUCCUGGGCCUGGGCGGGGAAGGGUGGGACUCAGAGGGGCCCUGAUUGCCGGUGGGUGAAUUCCUGUCUCCUGGAUUCCAAGUCAGGCCCGUCUCCUCCCUCCGGCUCCCUGCCCUACCCCCUCCCCGCCCCCACCAGGGGAACCUUCAUCGAGUUCCGGAACGGCAUGCUGAACAUCUCGCCCAUCGGCCGCAGCUGCACCCUGGAGGAGCGCAUCGAGUUCUCCGAGCUGGACAAGGUGCCACCCGCUGUGCAGAGCUUGGGCGAUAGGCCCUCAGUCACGCAACCCUCUAAGCCUUUACUUUCUCAUCCGUGGAGAGGAUGGGGGCGGGGAAUGCGGGUUCUGAUUCGACCGGUGCCCUGAUGCACGCCUGCCCUGCGCUGUGGUGCCAGGCACUUCUGCGUCUUCCCCGCACCACUGGUUCCUUCCCUUGGUGACGAGCAUCACCAGCCACCUACCAACCUAAGCCAAGACCUUGGGCAACAUUUCCUCCUGCCAGCCCAUCAGGUCCAACAGUGAUUCCUGGCGUUUCAGCCUCCAGAGUUGGUCUUAGAUCCCUUCGUGUGUGUGUGUGUGUGUGUGUCCCCGACAUGAAUGAAACCCUGCCAGUCUGUGCUCCAGCAGUGCCACGGAGAACCUUCUGAAGCACAUCUCUCUGGCCCUGUCCCCUCCCGGCUUACAAUCCUUCCAUGGGGCCACUUACCAACUGGACAAGGUCCCGGUCCCCUCCCGUGGGUCCCUGAGCCCUGAGGGGUCUGCCUGGCCCAAGCCCACCUCUUGAGCUUUCUCCCAUGCAUCUCUUGGUCCCUGGGACACACCAAGGUCCCUGUCACCUUUGUGCUGCCCCCACUAAACCUUGACUUGCCUUUUUUUUU
RNAcentral lists this long non-coding RNA (1044 nucleotides) under Sus scrofa (pig). RNAcentral describes it as "lncRNA (ENSSSCG00065042672.1)". The record is from RNAcentral. Lineage: Eukaryota; Metazoa; Chordata; Mammalia; Artiodactyla; Suidae.